RNAcentral lists this ribosomal RNA (770 nucleotides) under uncultured bacterium. RNAcentral describes it as "bacterial SSU rRNA". It matches the Rfam family "Bacterial small subunit ribosomal RNA", at positions 55 to 805 of the family's 1533-position model. The record is from RNAcentral.
AUGCAGUCGAGCGCGAAUGGAGCAAUCCUAGUAGAGCGGCGCACGGGUGCGUAACACGUGGGUAACCUUCCUAGAAGACCGGAAUAACCUGCCGAAAGGCUGGCUAAUACCGGAUAAGCUCACGGAGACUUCGGUCUCUGUGGGAAAAGGUGGCCUCUGUACACAAGCUAUCACUUCUAGAUGAGCCCGCGGCCCAUCAGCUAGUUGGCGGGGUAAUGGCCCACCAAGGCAACGACGGGUAGCUGGUCUGAGAGGACGAUCAGCCACACUGGAACUGAGACACGGUCCAGACUCCUACGGGAGGCAGCAGUGGGGAAUUUUGCACAAUGGGCGAAAGCCUGAUGCAGCAACGCCGCGUGUGUGAUGAAGGUCUUCGGAUCGUAAAGCACUUUCGACCGGGACGAACACCCCUUGGCUAACAUCCAAGGGCCUGACGGUACCGGGAGAAGAAGCACCGGCUAACUCUGUGCCAGCAGCCGCGGUAAUACAGAGGGUGCAAGCGUUGUUCGGAAUUAUUGGGCGUAAAGCGCGUGUAGGCGGCUUUGCAAGUCGGGUGUGAAAGCCCUCAGCUUAACUGAGGAAGUGCGCCCGAAACUGCAUGGCUUGAGUACCGGAGAGGAUGGCGGAAUUCCCCAAGUAGAGGUGAAAUUCGUAGAUAUGGGGAGGAACACCGGGUGGCCGAAGGCGGCCAUCUGGACGGAUACUGACGCUGUGACGCGGAAAGCGGUGGGUAGCAAACAGAUUAGAUACCCUGGUAGUCCACGCCGUAA